AAUCUCCCGUCGGUUCCUUUUUGCAUGUUCUUCGGCGAUCGAUUAGUGAUACCUCCUCCUCCUCCAAAUCCGUCGACGAAAUCACUGUUGCCGGAGUCCACCUGGGAACACAUCUUGUUCUCCGAAAAGUCUCAACCUUUCCCUUCCCGAUCAACCCGUUCUUCUUCAGGAAUCGAAACAGGAACCAAGCUCUACGUAUCCAAUCUGAUAAGUUUGGUGUCAUGAACUAUGACAUCAAGGUUUGGAAGACAAAGAUCAAAACUUUGUGAAGGUAUCUUUCUGACACUUUGACUUCUCGUUUUGAUAGUAUGAUUUAACCUUGUAUUGAUUGGUAUAUGAACAUUGAGAUUGUAGUUGAUGUUCUGAUUCAGUUGUGUUGUUGUGUUCCGGAUUCCUUCUUUGUCUUUAAGAAGAAGGACAUGCUCUAACUGGCUGUCUCUCGGCUGUGUCACUACUAGGUGGGCAUCUAAUGAAAAAACCACUUGUUUCCUCAUAUUCUCUCUUUUAAAAAAAAAAAAAAAAUAUCAAUCUUUUCUUCUUCUAUCAUCUCCACAAACUCCAACAUCUCUCGCUCAAAAAGGAGCCAUGAAUGGUGAAGAAAGCUUCGCUGAAGAUUGCUCUGAGUUUGUUGUAGUUGACCCUUCUGGAAGAUAUGGAAGAUACGAGGAAGUACUUGGCAAGGGAGCUUCGAAGACAGUGUAAUCGCAUUCAUCUUCUCUCUUUGUCUUUUUUUUUUUGAUGAGUACGAAGGGAUAGAAGUGGCAUGGAACCAAGUAAAGCUUCGGAACUUCACGAGGAAUCCUGAAGAGUUAGAGAAAUUCUUCAGAGAGAUUCAUCUGCUCAAGACCUUGAAUCAUCAGAACAUCAUGAGAUUCUACACUUCUUGGGUUGAUACUGACAAUUUAUCAAUCAAUUUUGUCACUGAACUCUUCACCUCCGGCACUCUCAGACAGUAUAGGUUGAGACAUAGAAGAGUGAAUAUAAAAGCGGUGAAGCAAUGGUGUAAUUAAGCAGAUUCUAAAGGGCUUCUCUAUCUCCAUAGCCGUUCUCCUCCAAUCAUCCAUAGAGAUCUCAAAUGUGAUAACAUCUUCAUCAAUGGAAACCAAUGAGAAGUUAAGAUUGGUGACCUUGGACUCGCUGCCAUUCUUCGUAAAUCUCAUGUUGUUCGCUGCGUUGGUACUUUUCAGAAAUGGUGUGGAGUUUAUGUAUGCUUUUCUUUUAGAGAAAUUGCAUUCUACACACAAAAAGUUUAGCAUAAUUAAGGGAAUACACAUUUAGAGUUUGCUUAGUUUGUGUCGAAAUUUUUCGGACCGGUAUACCCCUACUACGUACGUUAUUAUUAUACAGCCUCACUCCAAGACUAUAUCUUCUUAAUAUUCACACGCAAAGUACUCAGUCA
This is a long non-coding RNA of Brassica oleracea var. oleracea, 1399 nucleotides long. RefSeq lists it as uncharacterized. The record is from RefSeq and is a predicted model, not a curated record. The transcript is spliced from 3 exons. NCBI's taxonomy places the organism in Eukaryota, Viridiplantae, Streptophyta, Magnoliopsida, Brassicales, Brassicaceae.